CCUACGGGAGGCAGCAGUGAGGAAUAUUGGUCAAUGGGAGGAAUCCUGAACCAGCCAUGCCGCGUGUAGGACGACGGCUCUACGAGUUGUAAACUGCUUUUGUACCGGGGUAAACUGUUCUACGAGUAGGGUUUUGAAAGUACGGUACGAAUAAGGGUCGGCUAACUCCGUGCCAUCAGCCGCGGUAAUACGGAGGAUACGAGCGUUACCCGGAUUCAUUGGGAUUAAAGGGUACGUAGGUUGUUUUAUAAGUUAGCGGUGAAAUACCGAUGCUCAACAUCGGGGCUGCCGCUGAUACUGUAAGACUAGAGAUCGGAUGCAGCAGGCAGAAUGUGUAGUGUAGCGGUGAAAUGCAUAGAGAUUACACAGAACACCGAUGGCGAAGGCAGCUUGCUAGGCCGGAUCUGACACUGAUGCACGAAAGCGUGGGGAUCGAACAGGAUUAGAUACCCGAGUAGUC
This 460-nucleotide ribosomal RNA is filed under the name uncultured bacterium. Its description in RNAcentral is "partial 16S ribosomal RNA". It matches the Rfam family "Bacterial small subunit ribosomal RNA", at positions 338 to 795 of the family's 1533-position model. The record is from RNAcentral.